UACGGAGGGUGCAAGCGUUAUCCGGAUUUACUGGGUUUAAAGGGUGCGUAGGUGGGUAAGAAAGUCAGUGGUGAAAUCUUCGGGCUUAACCCGGAAACUGCCAUUGAUACUAUUUAUCUUGAAUACUUUGGAGGUAAGCGGAAUAUGUCAUGUAGCGGUGAAAUGUUUAGAUAUGGCAUAGAACACCAAUUGCGAAGGCAGCUUACUACACAGUUAUUGACACUGAGGCACGAAAGCGUGGGGAUCAAACAGG
RNAcentral lists this ribosomal RNA (253 nucleotides) under uncultured bacterium. Its description in RNAcentral is "partial 16S ribosomal RNA". It matches the Rfam family "Bacterial small subunit ribosomal RNA", at positions 524 to 776 of the family's 1533-position model. The record is from RNAcentral.